AAGAAAUUAGUUAAAAUAUAACAUUAAUUUGUCAAAUUAAAAUUAUUUAAUUAAAUAUUUCUUA
Molecule: transfer RNA, 64 nt
Filed under: Pambolus sp. QL-2013
Lineage: Eukaryota; Metazoa; Arthropoda; Insecta; Hymenoptera; Braconidae
Description: tRNA-Asp
Source: RNAcentral